UGACUGUGCUUGCACGGGGGAUAGUGGCGAACGGGUGAGUAACACGUGAGUAACCUGCCCUUGACUUCGGGAUAAGCCUGGGAAACUGGGUCUAAUACUGGAUACGACCUCUCAUCGCAUGGUGUGGGGGUGGAAAGUUUUUGCGGUUUUGGAUGGACUCGCGGCCUAUCAGCUUGUUGGUGAGGUAAUGGCUCACCAAGGCGACGACGGGUAGCCGGCCUGAGAGGGUGACCGGCCACACUGGGACUGAGACACGGCCCAGACUCCUACGGGAGGCAGCAGUGGGGAAUAUUGCACAAUGGGCGAAAGCCUGAUGCAGCGACGCCGCGUGAGGGACGACGGCCUUCGGGUUGUAAACCUCUUUCAGUAGGGAACAAAGCAUCAUUUUUGUGGUGUUGAGGGUACUUGCAGAAGAAGCACCGGCUAACUACGUGCCAGCAGCCGCGGUAAUACGUAGGGUGCAAGCGUUAUCCGGAAUUAUUGGGCGUAAAGAGCUCGUAGGCGGUUUGUCGCGUCUGUCGUGAAAGUCCGGGGCUCAACUCCGGAUCUGCGGUGGGUACGGGCAGACUAGAGUGAUGUAGGGGAGACUGGAAUUCCUGGUGUAGCGGUGGAAUGCGCAGAUAUAAGGAGGAACACCGAUGGCGAAGGCAGGUCUCUGGGCAUUAACUGACGCUGAGGAGCGAAAGCAUGGGGAGCGAACAGGAUUAGAUACCCUGGUAGUCCAUGCCGUAAACGUUGGGCACUAGGUGUGGGGGACAUUCCACGUUUUCCGCGCCGUAACUAACGCAUUAAGUGCCCCGCCUGGGGAGUACAGCCGCAAGGCUAAAACUCAAAGAAAUUGACGGGGGCCCGCACAAGCGGCGGAGCAUGCGAAUUAAUUCGAUGCAACGCGAAGAACCUUACCAAGGCUUGACAUGAACCGGAAAGGCGUAGAAAUACGUCCCCCACUUGUGGUCGGUUUACAGGUGGUGCAUGGUUGUCGUCAGCUCGUGUCGUGAGAUGUUGGGUUAAGUCCCGCGACGAGCGCAACCCUCGUUCUAUGUUGCCAGCACGUGAUGGUGGGGACUCAUAGGAGACUGCCGGGGUCAACUCGGAGGAAGGUGGGGAUGACGUCAAAUCAUCAUGCCCCUUAUGUCUUGGGCU
Molecule: ribosomal RNA, 1143 nt
Filed under: uncultured Actinomycetes bacterium
Lineage: Bacteria; Bacillati; Actinomycetota; Actinomycetes
Description: bacterial SSU rRNA
Rfam family: Bacterial small subunit ribosomal RNA
Source: RNAcentral